Molecule: ribosomal RNA, 1316 nt
Filed under: Bristowia gandhii
Lineage: Eukaryota; Metazoa; Arthropoda; Arachnida; Araneae; Salticidae
Description: SSU rRNA
Rfam family: Eukaryotic small subunit ribosomal RNA
Source: RNAcentral
AUGCCGUAUUAAGGCGAAACCGCGAAUGGCUCAUUAAAUCAGUUAUGGUUCCUUGGAUCGUACCUUACUACUUGGAUAACUGUGGUAAUUCUAGAGCUAAUACAUGCAGCAGAGCUCCGACCUUCGGGGACGAGCGCUUUUAUUAGACCAAAACCAAUCGGACUCUGUCCGUCUCUUGUGGUGACUCUGAAUAACUUUGGGCUGAUCGCACGGGCCUGUCCCGGCGACGUAUCUUUCAAGUGUCUGCCUUAUCAACUUUCGAUGGUAGGUUACGCGCCUACCAUGGUCGUAACGGGUAACGGGGAAUCAGGGUUCGAUUCCGGAGAGGGAGCCUGAGAAACGGCUACCACAUCCAAGGAAGGCAGCAGGCGCGCAAAUUACCCACUCCCAGAACGGGGAGGUAGUGACGAAAAAUAACAAUACGGGACUCUUUUGAGACCCCGUAAUUGGAAUGAGUACACUCUAAAUCCUUUAACGAGGAUCCAUUGGAGGGCAAGUCUGGUGCCAGCCGCCGCGGUAACUCCAGCUCCAAUAGCGUAUAUUAAAGUUGUUGCGGUUAAAAAGCUCGUAGUUGGAUCUCAGUUCCAGUCCGGCGGUCCGCCUACCGGUGGUUACUGCCGGUUCUGAACAGCCAGCCGGUUUCUCUUGAUGAUCUUCACCGGUUGUCUUGGGUGACCGGCAAGUUUACUUUGAAAAAAUUAGAGUGCUCAAAGCAGGCGCGACGCCUGAAUAAUGGUGCAUGGAAUAAUGGAAUAGGACCUCGGUUCUAUUUUGUUGGUUUUCGGAACACGAGGUAAUGAUUAAGAGGGACAGACGGGGGCAUUCGUAUUGCGACGCUAGAGGUGAAAUUCUUGGACCGUCGCAGGACGAACUACUGCGAAAGCAUUUGCCAAGAAUGUUUCCAUUAAUCAAGAACGAAAGUUAGAGGUUCGAAGGCGAUCAGAUACCGCCCUAGUUCUAACCAUAAACGAUGCCAGCCAGCGAUCCGGCUGUGUUCCUCAAAUGACACGCCGGGCAGCUUCCGGGAAACCAAAGCUUUUGGGUUCCGGGGGAAGUAUGGUUGCAAAGCUGAAACUUAAAGGAAUUGACGGAAGGGCACCACCAGCCUUGGAGCCUGCGGCUUAAUUUGACUCAACACGGGAAAACUCACCCGGCCCGGACACAGGAAGGAUUGACAGAUUAAGAGCUCUUUCUUGAUUCUGUGGGUGGUGGUGCAUGGCCGUUCUUAGUUGGUGGAGCGAUUUGUCUGGUUAAUUCCGAUAACGAGCGAGACUCUAGCCUACUAAAUAGACGUUCCGAUCAAUGUCGUCGGACGU